Molecule: long non-coding RNA, 709 nt
Filed under: Homo sapiens (human)
Lineage: Eukaryota; Metazoa; Chordata; Mammalia; Primates; Hominidae
Description: HSALNT0341412
Source: RNAcentral
UGAACAGUGGAUUGUUGUUACUGAUUCCCUUCUAGGUGGUGAAAAGUGACAGCUGCUCUGUGCAGUUACGAUGCUGCACUGCCACAGUAACCUUCUCCCUCUGUGGUGAUCCAAUAUUCUACCAUAUGUCAGCAAAACUAUUCCAGCCCGGCCCUUUCAACUCUCCCGAAUCUAAGCCAACAGUCAAGGUACUAUGAAGACGUCAGGCGUAUGGAAAUAACAGAUGGGAAAGGCGAGCAGAGAUCAUUACUCUGAACUGUCUUGGAUGUCCCUGGGCAAUGCUAAGCUAACAUUCAGCAGUGUCUACAAGAUGACACACAACAUGUUGAAAGAAUGGAGCGGUGAUUCCCUUGGAAGGAUGUGAAAAGCUUUCCAAUCUCGAGGUGAUAUCAGAGCUCUUUCCCAUUGAAACACUUGGAUGCUCUUUCUCCAGCUAUCAUGCUCUCUUUUUUCCACUCAAGCAAUGGAGGGUUCAUAACGGCACCUGCCUGGUUGGAGAGAGGUUUAAGCAGAUGACAAGGAGGAAGUGCCUGGUGCAGGAUAAGGCCUCAGGAAUGGCCCAGGUUGUCCCUGCUUGGAGCUUCAGAUGUGGUUUGAACCCAGGUCUGCAUGAUUCUCAAGUCAUACUUCAACAAACACAAUAAAACUCAUAUCAAAUGUUGGACAGCAUUACUUGGCAUUAUUGGGUUGCAAAACUUCAAGCCAGUUA